GCGGAAAAGAUAAGUGCUGAAAGCAUCUAAGCACGAAACUUGCCCCGAGAUGAGUUCUCCCUGAGACUUUAAGUCUCCUGAAGGAACGUUGAAGACGACGACGUUGAUAGGUCGGGUGUGUAAGCGCAGCGAUGCGUUGAGCUAACCGAUACUAAUGAACCGUGAGGCUUAACCUUACAACGCCGAAG
RNAcentral lists this ribosomal RNA (188 nucleotides) under Enterobacter sp. ku-bf2. Its description in RNAcentral is "partial 23S ribosomal RNA". It matches the Rfam family "Bacterial large subunit ribosomal RNA", at positions 2755 to 2925 of the family's 2925-position model. The record is from RNAcentral. Lineage: Bacteria; Pseudomonadati; Pseudomonadota; Gammaproteobacteria; Enterobacterales; Enterobacteriaceae.